Molecule: ribosomal RNA, 542 nt
Filed under: uncultured archaeon
Lineage: Archaea
Description: bacterial SSU rRNA
Rfam family: Archaeal small subunit ribosomal RNA
Source: RNAcentral
GCCAGCAGCCGCGGUAACACCGGCGGCCCGAGUGGUGAUCGUGAUUAUUGGGUCUAAAGGGUCCGUAGCCGGUUUGGUCAGUCCUCCGGGAAAUCUGAUAGCUCAACUAUUAGGCUUUCGGGGGAUACUGCCAGACUUGGAACCGGGAGAGGUAAGAGGUACUACAGGGGUAGGAGUGAAAUCUUGUAAUCCCUGUGGGACCACCUGUGGCGAAGGCGUCUUACCAGAACGGGUUCGACGGUGAGGGACGAAAGCUGGGGGCACGAACCGGAUUAGAUACCCGGGUAGUCCCAGCCGUAAACGAUGCUCGCUAGGUGUCAGGCAUGGCGCGACCGUGUCUGGUGCCGCAGGGAAGCCGUGAAGCGAGCCACCUGGGAAGUACGGCCGCAAGGCUGAAACUUAAAGGAAUUGGCGGGGGAGCACAACAACGGGUGGAAGCCUGCGGUUUAAUUGGACUCAACGCCGGACAACUCACCGGGGGCGACAGCAAUAUGUAGGCCAAGCUGAAGACUUUGCCUGAAUCGCUGAGAAGAGGUGCAUGG